This 4657-nucleotide long non-coding RNA is filed under the name Brassica napus (rape). Its description in RNAcentral is "long non-coding RNA (BNAP_LNC009498)". The record is from RNAcentral. Lineage: Eukaryota; Viridiplantae; Streptophyta; Magnoliopsida; Brassicales; Brassicaceae.
GUGUCUACUCUGCAGCAUAUUGAUUUGUCUUACAACAAUCUCAAUGGGCCUAUACCGAGUUGGCUUCAGAGGUUCCCUACGUCGUCUUAUCAAGGCGUUGGCGGAUUCUCUCUCGUGCAGCCACCUCCCGACUUGGCUCAUCACGAGCUUAAACCUCGUCAGAAACCUAAACCUCACUUCUUGGGACUAACCAAGACUGUUUUCUUGCUGAUAGUCAUCGCUGUCUCCAUUGUGCUACUAGCGGUUUUAGUCUUUGUGUUAGCUGUUUGUUACUUGAGGAUGAAACUAAGCCAAGGCGAUGGGAUUAUAACAGACGCCAAGCUGCAGAAGAAAGGUGGUAUGUCUCCUGAGAAGUUCGUGUCGAGGAUGGAAGAUGUGAACAACAGGUUGUCUUUCUUUGAAGGGUGUAACUACUCGUUUGAUCUCGAGGAUCUUCUGAGAGCUUCCGCUGAGGUUCUUGGUAAAGGCACGUUUGGGACGACGUACAAAGCGGUUCUUGAGGAUGCGACUUCUGUCGCUGUGAAACGUCUCAAGGACGUUGCGGCUGGGAAACGCGAUUUCGAGCAGCAGAUGGAGAUUAUUGGAGGGAUUAAGCACGAGAAUGUUGUGGAGCUUAAGGCUUAUUAUUACUCUAAAGAUGAGAAGCUUAUGGUUUAUGAUUACUUCGGUAAUGGGAGUGUGGCUUCUUUGCUUCACGGUACGUUUUCAAUUUAUGAUCUAACCGUGCGUCAUAACUACAGUGCAAUGGUUAGACCAGGGCUGUCUAAUAGUAUGUGCAAGUGAAACAGUUCAUACAGGGCAGGAGUUUUAAAAAAUAAAUAUAUAAAUUAUGUGCUAAAAUUUUAUUUUUGUUAAAUUUAUAGCUUAUAAUUUCAAAUUUUUUUUUUUUUUAAUUUUAGAAAUAUUGUUAAAUUUUAUAGUUUAUAGUUUCAAAAGAAACAUUAAACAUAUAGAAAGAGCUAUUAAUUUGUAAAACUAUUUUAUUAUAUUGUUGAUAAAACUGUUAAUAUUUUGGCCGGUAAAUAAUUGGAGACGGCACGGACUCACUUUCUACGUAGUGUUCUCAUGGACUUGCCGUUGGAUUGUGCAGGUAACAGAGGCGAAAACAGAGUUCCAUUGGACUGGGAGACAAGAAUGAGUAUUGCCAUUGGUGCAGCUAAAGGGAUAGCUCGUAUCCACCAAGAGAACAAUGGGAAGCUCGUCCAUGGCAACAUCAAAUCUUCAAACAUAUUCUUGAACUCAGAGCGUAAUGGCUGCGUGUCUGAUCUCGGUUUAACCGCGGUGAUGAGCGCCUUGGCUCCACCUAUCUCGAGGCAAGCUGGUUACCGUGCGCCAGAGGUAACCGACACAAGGAAGUCAUCUCAACUCUCAGAUGUUUACAGUUUCGGCGUCGUACUGCUCGAACUCCUCACCGGAAAGUCUCCCAUUCACACUACCGCAGGUAAAGACCAUGAUACUAUUAUAUACAUGUUCGGUUAAGGAUGAUUUCGGUUUAAUGAUGGACAUUUGCAGGAGAUGAGAUUAUACAUUUGGUUCGGUGGGUACAUUCGGUAGUGAGAGAGGAGUGGACUGCAGAGGUGUUCGACGUGGAGCUUCUAAGGUAUACGAACAUAGAGGAAGAGAUGGUUGAGAUGUUGCAGAUUGCAAUGUCGUGUGUUGUCAAAGCACCGGACCAGAGACCUAAGAUGUCUGAUUUGGUUAGGCUUAUUGAGAGUGUCGGAAACCGACAAGCCAGUCUUGGGCCUGAGCCUAAGCCCAAGUCCGAAAACGAAGCCUCCGAGACUUCCACGCCGGGUGAAAUUUGAAUCUAUGCAAAUUGAAAUCGUUGAUUUUUAACUUCAUUAAGUUUGUAUACUCAUGUUGAUUCUCUUCUCCGGUUAGAACCGGUUAUCAAACACAUUUCUAUUUAGGGGGGACUCUGGUGUUUUCAUGCAAAAUAGAUUUGAAUUUUCAAAUUGAAGAAAAAUGAAUCUUGUAUGUUUUCAUCAAGCACCUUGGUUAUUGCAAACAAAAUUAAAGAACACAUUCUAUUAGACAAGGGUGAGGAGCUGGAAGAGAGUGGGCUUAGGAUCUGAGUUCAUACCCGACGAAGAUGUGAGAGGAAUGAAGCCGAAGUGAUCAUCCCCCGAUCAUCUCGUUUGAUUUAUCGCCAAAGCCUCUAAAUUGUAGUAUAUGACAUACUGGGCUUUAGAGCCCAAAAUAGUCCCAUUGGGUCUACGUGGCUAUAGCCUGCGGGUGCAGAUUGUGUGAGUAAGAAAUAUUGGGUUUAUUGGCACAAUUUAUUUUAGAGUCCUAGACUGUUAUUUCCUAUUGGUAACGAAUUUUGCUUUAGACAUUAACUUUAAAAUUUGAAAAAUUUGCCAAAACACCACCAAAAAACAACUACAUUGUCCAUUUACCAUAAAUCUUUUUUUUGGUCGGAUUUAGACUUAGAUACCUCUGGCCAACUUCAAAAUUCAUAUCAAUUAUUUUAAAACUCAGAAAAAUAUGAAAAAUUAUUCAAAAUUUACAUAAACAUGAAACAAUCAUAUGAAAAAUUAUUUGGUUGACUAAAUAUUAGUGAAACACAAUUUCAUAUUUUGAUAUACAUAUAGCAGAAAACAAAAUCUACUAACUACAGACAUGUAGAUCGUAGUUUCGGUUAACUACAUAGAUAUCUGGCGCUUAUAUAUUUUAAAAUCUACGAUUUGGUAAUCUGUCUACUACCGCAGAAAGAAAAGAUUACGGUUUUGCUUACGAUCUGAACGACGAAAGAUUUCAUGAACUACUAUUUCCUAUAUAUCUACUGGCUCGGAAUCACAGAAUCUGCCAGUUACUAAUAAUCUAUCGUGGUAAUAUUUCGUUAUCUACUAAGAUACUAUAUCCUAUCUCUGCCGGAUUAUACAUUCUACCGUCGUAUCUACCAUCAUAUAUACAAUCUCCUGGCAGCAGAAUGCAUGUUCUGCCAAAUUCGUAAUCUUUUGGAAAAUAUUCCUUAAAUCUCUCCAAAAUCUGUUGAAAAAUAUUAUGUAAAUCUUUAUUUUCUCAAAUUUUACGUGUUUCCUAAAGUUAUUUUUUUUUUUAAAUAAUUGUGAUCUCUCUUCCUCUUCACAAUUUCUUGAUUAAUUUUGAAACCACCCCAAAAAUUUGAAUCCCUUGUUGCUUAUGUGAUGUCUGGUGGUGGCAUAACCUUCAAGAAAUUCAAGCCAACGAUUAGGAGCAAGCGUUGCUUUCUCCUGUUCCCUGUUCAAGGCUCUGAGAGAAAGGGGCUCGUUAGCGUUGAAGUCAAGAAGAAGAAAGGCCAGGUAACAGAUAUAGAUAGGUCUUUUAUCUCUAGCCUAGGAAUGAGUGUAGCAGAUUGGAGCUGUUGUGAGUUGAUUAGAGAGUGGUUAGCAAUGGCAUUAGCAGAUUCAUUGAUCUUCUUGUUUGUUUCUUCAGUAUGACAUGAAGCUUUUGGCGGUGGACAUCCCCAUGGCGUCUGGUCCUGACCAACGGUUGUAUCUGAUUGGAGAUGAAGAAGGGUACAAAGUCGGUGGCGGUUUGAUCUCUGAGCUAAGAGACCCUGUUGUGAAAGCCAUGGCAGCGACUAAGGAGUUCGAUAAUCUUGACAGAAUUGAAGAGGAAGAAGAUGCUGAAAGAGAGCUUCAAGAAGCUGAAAGAAAGCACCGUGAGGAGAUUGAGAAGCUCGAAAAAGAGAGCUCUUAAAAUUCGUUUUUAUUUCCCUGGACUACUUGAACAACAACAGCUUGUAUCACCAAAGACUCUCUUUUGUCUUGUAUCAGAGUAUGCUACACUGAUCUGUGAUCUACAUUGAUGUAGAAUGAGUAGCAAUGGACUACUACUCUCUGAACCAUUUGCUGAGCUAUAAAUCAACAAUCAAUUCAUUGCAUAUCAAAACACCGUCGCAAACGCAGAUCCAAUCCAAGACAAACGCGCAUUACUCGAGUUCCUAACCCUCAUGCGUCCCACGCGCUCACUCAACUGGAACGAGACCACUUCCGUCUGCAACGCAUGGACCGGAGUCACUUGCAACAAAGACGGAUCUCGCAUCACAGCCGUUAGAUUGCCUGGAGUUGGACUCAACGGUCAGAUCCCUCCCAACACUCUAAGCAGACUCUCUUCUCUUACUGUCCUCAGCCUCAGAUCCAAUAGAAUCUCAGGCCUAUUCCCUGGAGACUUCGCCGAGCUGAAAGACUUGGCCUUCCUUUACCUUCAGGACAACGACUUCUCCGGUCCGUUGCCUCAGGAUUUCUCUGUCUGGAAGAAUCUCACCAGCGUCAAUCUCUCUAACAAUGACUUCAACGGAACGGUUCCUGGUUCUUUGUCGAGGCUUGGGCGUGUGCAGUCGUUGAAUCUCGCUAAUAAUUCGCUUUCUGGCGACAUUCCUGAUCUAAGCGGUGUGUCUACUCUGCAGCAUAUUGAUUUGUCUUACAACAAUCUCAAUGGGCCUAUACCGAGUUGGCUUCAGAGGUUCCCUACGUCGUCUUAUCAAGGCGUUGGCGGAUUCUCUCUCGUGCAGCCACCUCCCGACUUGGCUCAUCACGAGCUUAAACCUCGUCAGAAACCUAAACCUCACUUCUUGGGACUAACCAAGACUGUUUUCUUGCUGAUAGUCAUCGCUGUCUCCAUUGUGCUACUAGCGGUUUUAGUCUUUGUGUUAGCUGUUUGUUACUUGAGG